This 92-nucleotide transfer RNA is filed under the name Ceratocystis platani. It matches the Rfam family "tRNA". From Rfam's summary of the family: Transfer RNA (tRNA) molecules are approximately 80 nucleotides in length. Lineage: Eukaryota; Fungi; Ascomycota; Sordariomycetes; Microascales; Ceratocystidaceae. The record is from Rfam by way of RNAcentral.
GGCACUAUGGCCGAGUGGUUAAGGCGCUUCCCUGCUACUUAGUAGAUUAGGAAGUCCGUUCGCGGGCGCGUGUUCGAAUCACGUUGGUGUCG